This 1003-nucleotide long non-coding RNA is filed under the name Gallus gallus (chicken). Its description in RNAcentral is "lncRNA (ENSGALG00010017942.1)". The record is from RNAcentral. Lineage: Eukaryota; Metazoa; Chordata; Aves; Galliformes; Phasianidae.
GCUGCGAUUACGAUGCGGCGCGCGCGCGCGCCCGCGCUGCCUCGCGGGACGCUGAUUGGCUCCGCCGUGCGCUGACGUCAGAGAGGGGUGAGCGGGGCUGAGGGGGGGGCGGUGAUUCACACCUCUCUGCCCCCCCUUUUUCCAUCCCCUCCACAACUCGGCGGGGUUCCGUCACUGUAACUCUGCAGCGCCCGUGGCUGCGGGGCAGCACCGCACGGCGCGGGGCCGACAGCCCGGCAGUGUCUGGUUGUCACCCGGUGAGGUGUUACUGUCACCCGGCGAUGGCUGAUGGUCACCUGGUGGCACCUGGUUGUGCCCAGCGAGGCGUCACCGUCACCUGAUGGCAUCCGGUUGUACCCACUGAUGUCUGGUUGUCACCUGGUCACAUCCGGGUGUCACCCGGCGAUGGCUGAUGGUCACCUGGUGACACGUGGAUGUGCCCAGCGGGGUGUUACUGUCACCCGAUGGCAUCCGCUUGUCACCCAGUGACGUCUCACUGUCACCUGGCGGUGGCUGAUUGUCACCCACUGACACCUGUUUGUCACCCCAUCACAUCUGGUUGUCACCUGAUGUUGGCCGAUUGUCACCUGGUGGCACCUGGCUGUCACCCACUGAGGUGCUGCUGUCACCUGGUUGUCACCCAGCAGCAGCUGUCCCCCACUGCUGUCUGUCUGUCCCCCUCUGCUGUCUGUCUGUCCCCCGCUGACAGCCAUCCCACCCCCCGCCCUCCUGCCCAUCUCACCCAUCCAUUUGCCUGGGGAUGGGGGUUGUUUUUCCCCUCUGCUGCCAUUGCCUUCGGGAUGGGGGGUGCCCCCAUGAGCCCCCCCCACACACACAGCACUGGGGCUGCCCCACACCCCCCCCACCACAGUGUUCCUUUGCACCGGGGGUGGAUUUGCACUUUCCUGGGGGGUGGGGGUCGGGUUUGGGUGUUGAUUGCAGCCGUUCUGGGGUGGGGGGGGGGGGAAUAAAAGCGAUUUGUGGUAUGAGAUGUGGCCGUGUG